Molecule: ribosomal RNA, 253 nt
Filed under: uncultured bacterium
Lineage: Bacteria
Description: partial 16S ribosomal RNA
Rfam family: Bacterial small subunit ribosomal RNA
Source: RNAcentral
UACGAAGGGGGCUAGCGUUGCUCGGCAUCACUGGGCGUAACGCGCACGUAGGCGGAUUGUUAAGUCAGGGGUGAAAUCCUGGAGCUCAACUCCAGAACUGCCUUUGAUACUGGCGAUCUCGAGUCCGGGAGAGGUGAGUGGAACUGCGAGUGUAGAGGUGAAAUUCGUAGAUAUUCGCAAGAACACCAGUGGCGAAGGCGGCUCACUGGCCCGGUACUGACGCUGAGGUGCGAAAGCGUGGGGAGCAAACAGG